This is a non-coding RNA of Caerostris darwini, 109 nucleotides long. Lineage: Eukaryota; Metazoa; Arthropoda; Arachnida; Araneae; Araneidae. The record is from the annotation of a GenBank genome assembly.
AACGGCCGUACCAUGCUGAAUAUACCGGUUCUCGUUAGAUCACCGAAGUCAAGCAUCAUUGGGCACGGUCAGUACUUGGGUGGGUGACCACCUGGGAACACCGCGUGCC